UACGGGGGGGGCAAGCGUUGUUCGGAAUUACUGGGCGUAAAGGGCUCGUAGGUGGCCAACUAAGUCAGACGUGAAAUCCCUCAGCUUAACUGGGGAACUGCGUCUGAUACUGGAUGGCUUGAGUUCGGGAGAGGGAUGCGGAAUUCCAGGUGUAGCGGUGAAAUGCGUAGAUAUCUGGAGGAACACCGGUGGCGAAGGCGGCAUCCUGGACCGACACUGACGCUGAGGAGCGAAAGCGUGGGGAGCGAACAGG
This 253-nucleotide ribosomal RNA is filed under the name uncultured bacterium. RNAcentral's name for it is "partial 16S ribosomal RNA". It matches the Rfam family "Bacterial small subunit ribosomal RNA", at positions 524 to 776 of the family's 1533-position model. The record is from RNAcentral.